GGGCUCGUAGUCUAGCGGUUAUCUCAAGUAGAGACUGCAGAUGACGACACCCUUACAAGGUGUAGGUCCCCGGUUCAAAUCCGGGCGGGCCCA
This 93-nucleotide transfer RNA is filed under the name Nanobdellota archaeon. Its description in RNAcentral is "tRNA-Val". It matches the Rfam family "tRNA". From Rfam's summary of the family: Transfer RNA (tRNA) molecules are approximately 80 nucleotides in length. Their secondary structure includes four short double-helical elements and three loops (D, anti-codon, and T loops). Lineage: Archaea; Nanobdellati; Nanobdellota. The record is from RNAcentral.